Mycobacterium riyadhense is the source of this 75-nucleotide non-coding RNA. NCBI's taxonomy places the organism in Bacteria, Bacillati, Actinomycetota, Actinomycetes, Mycobacteriales, Mycobacteriaceae. The record is from Rfam.
CUUGAUCGACCCCAACCACAACGGCUCACCGCCAUGGCGGUCUUGCCCAUACGUGGCCAACAACGCCUGAGCCUC